Molecule: ribosomal RNA, 253 nt
Filed under: uncultured bacterium
Lineage: Bacteria
Description: partial 16S ribosomal RNA
Rfam family: Bacterial small subunit ribosomal RNA
Source: RNAcentral
UACGAAGGGCGCGAGCGUUAUUCGUUUUGAUUGGAUGUAAAGGGUACGUAGGCAGCCUGCAGGAAAUUCAGACCAAAAGCGCAGAGAGUUCCUAUGCGACGGUAUGUUGAAAUGCGGCUUGUGGCAGGACAGGGUUUGAAGAAUUUUUUAGGGAGGAGUAAAAUCCUACGAUCUAAGAACGAAGACCAGCAAGCGAAGGCGUCAUUCUAGUUCUGCCAGACGCUAAGGUACGGAAGUCCAGGGAGCAAACAGA